UGGGGAUAUAGCUCAGUUGGUAGAGUGUUUGCCUCGCAAGCACAAGGCCCUGGGUUCUUCAAUCCCCAGUACCGCAA
This is a non-coding RNA of Sciurus carolinensis (gray squirrel), 77 nucleotides long. The record is from the annotation of a RefSeq genome assembly. NCBI's taxonomy places the organism in Eukaryota, Metazoa, Chordata, Mammalia, Rodentia, Sciuridae.